CGGUCUCAAAGGCUACAAUUAGUGAAGAUGCUAUUCAUGUCAAUAUUAAACAAGAGGAUACAGAGAUGAUCUUAUCGACGGCUCCGAAGAUAGUGACAUUUCAACCUGCUUCGUACGCUGUCAUGGUGGCUAGUUUUGUUGCUUCUAAAGUAUGUAUUGGUCCUUUGGCUGAUUUUGAGAGAUGUCAAACUGCAAAUCAUUAAAGCGGCUAGGUUCCUUUGGAUAUCAACUAAGUUUCAUGAGAAGAUUUGUGUUCCUUUAUGUCAA
This 267-nucleotide long non-coding RNA is filed under the name Linum usitatissimum (flax). Its description in RNAcentral is "long non-coding RNA (LUSI_LNC005446)". Lineage: Eukaryota; Viridiplantae; Streptophyta; Magnoliopsida; Malpighiales; Linaceae. The record is from RNAcentral.